Molecule: ribosomal RNA, 469 nt
Filed under: uncultured bacterium
Lineage: Bacteria
Description: bacterial SSU rRNA
Rfam family: Bacterial small subunit ribosomal RNA
Source: RNAcentral
GAUGAACGCUGGCGGCGUGCUUAACACAUGUAAGUCGAACGAAGAUGCCGGAGUGCUUGCACUUUGGCAGACUGAGUGGCGGACGGGUGAGUAACGCGUGGGUAACCUGCCUUAUACAGGGGGAUAACAGUUGGAAACGACUGCUAAUACCGCAUAAGCGCACGGUAUCGCAUGAUACAGUGUGAAAAACUCCGGUGGUAUAAGAUGGACCCGCGUCUGAUUAGCUAGUUGGUGAGGUAACGGCCCACCAAGGCGACGAUCAGUAGCCGGCCUGAGAGGGUGAACGGCCACAUUGGGACUGAGACACGGCCCAAACUCCUACGGGAGGCAGCAGUGGGGAAUAUUGCACAAUGGGGGAAACCCUGAUGCAGCGACGCCGCGUGAGUGAUGAAGUAUUUCGGUAUGUAAAACUCUAUCAGCAGGGAAGAUAAUGACGGUACCUGACUAAGAAGCACCGGCUAAAUACGUG